GCUGGCGGCGUGGAUAAGUACAUGCAAGUCGAGCGAGAUUUUUUUCUGUAGCAAUACGGGGAAAAGUCUAGCGGCGAACGGGUGCGUAACACGUGGGCAACCUGCCAAGAAGUGGGGGAUAGCUCGCCGAAAGGCGAAUUAAUACCGCAUGUGAUCAGAGUGGACAUCCAUUCAAAAUCAAAGUCGGGGCAACCUGACGCUUCUUGAGGGGCCCGCGGCCUAUCAGCUAGUUGGUGCGGUAACGGCCCACCAAGGCUUAGACGGGUAGCUGGUCUGAGAGGACGACCAGCCACACUGGGACUGAGACACGGCCCAGACACCUACGGGUGGCAGCAGUCGAGAAUUUUUCUCAAUGGGGGAAACCCUGAAGGAGCGACGCCGCGUGGAGGAUGAAGGUCUUCGGAUUGUAAACUCCUGUCAUUGGGGAACAAUGCGUAAAUAUUAACUGUAUUUGCGUUGAUAGUACCCGAAGAGGAAGAGACGGCUAACUCUGUGCCAGCAGCCGCGGUAAUACAGAGGUCUCAAGCGUUGUUCGGAUUCAUUGGGCGUAAAGGGUGC
Molecule: ribosomal RNA, 558 nt
Filed under: uncultured soil bacterium
Lineage: Bacteria
Description: bacterial SSU rRNA
Rfam family: Bacterial small subunit ribosomal RNA
Source: RNAcentral